Quercus robur (English oak) is the source of this 1314-nucleotide long non-coding RNA. RefSeq lists it as uncharacterized. The transcript has 2 exons. NCBI's taxonomy places the organism in Eukaryota, Viridiplantae, Streptophyta, Magnoliopsida, Fagales, Fagaceae. The record is from RefSeq and is a predicted model, not a curated record.
UCUCUCUCCAUUUUGAUUCUGAAAAAAUCAAACAGUAAAAAUUUUGUUUUUCAAUUUUUCUUUAGGUGCUCGGUGCUCCUCAAUCACUUCUUACCUUUCAUUUCCAUUUCUUGUUGGCUUUCCCUUUACCUUUCUUUUUUCUUUUUUUAUUUAAAUUUAAUCUUUUUGUUGCUGGGCUUAACUUUGAUUUUUUUUCUUUUUUCUUUUUAUAGUAUUCACUUUGUUUUUCUUUCACAUAUAAACUUAAUUUAUCACGUCAGAUUAGGCAGCCACCUGAAUGCUGCAUGUUCAAGUACUGCAAAGUAGUUCCCUUGUUUUUGUGGUAUGUAUUUGAUUAAAGGAUAGGGGAAGAGAUUGAUAAAGAUUAGAGGGCUUUUUCUUUUAAAAAAAUCUAGACCAGACCCUUUUGUGCGGUUGCAUUGCUAUAACUCUAACGUGGUAGAAUAUUGAGUAGUAAAUUCAUGUUACCUUUCAUUUCUAUUUCUUGUUGGCUUUCCAUUUACCUUUCUUUUUUCUUUUUUAUUUAAAUUUAAUCUUUUUGUUGCUGAGCUUAACUUUGAAUUUUCUUUUUCUUUUUCUUUUUCUUUUUUAUAGUAUUCAGGUUGUUUUUCUUUCACAUAUAAACUUAAUUUAUCACGUUAGAUUAGGCAGACACCUGAAUGCUGCAUGUUCAAGUACUGCAAAGUAGGUCCCUUGUUUUUGUGGUAUGUAUUUGAUUGAAGGAUAGGUGAAGGGAUUGAUAAAGAUUAGAGGGCUUUUUCUUUUUUUUAAAAUCUAGACCAGAACCUUUUGUGCAAUUGCAUUGCUAUAACUUUGACGUGGUAGAAUAUUGAGUGGUAAAAUAACUCUGAUGUGGUAGAAUAUUGAGUGAUAAAUUCAUAUUAUUUUUCAUUUCCAUUUCUUGUUGGCUUUCCAUUUACCUUUCUUUUUUCUUUUUUAUUUAAAUUUAAUCUUUUUGUUGCUGAGCUUAACUUUGAAUUUUUUUUUUCUUUUUCUUUUUAUAGUAUUCACGUUGUUUUUCUUUCACAUAUAAACUUAAUUUAUCACGUCAGAUUAGGCAGACACCUGAAUGCUGCAUGUUCAAGUACUGCAAAGUAGGUCCCUUGUUUUUGUGGUAUGUAUUUGAUUGAAGGAUAGGUGAAGGGAUUGAUAAAGAUUAGAGGGCUUUUUCUUUUUUUUUUAAAUCUAGACCAGAACCUUUUGUGCAAUUGCAUUGCUAUAACUCUGACGACGUAGAAUAUUGAGCGGUAAAUUUAUGUAAAAGUGACAAAUAAUCAAUCACAUUCUAAGAUAAUUAUUAAAAAUUUGUGUAAA